AUACUUACUUGGCAGGGGAGAUACCAUGAUCACCAAGGUGGUUUUCUCAGGGCGAGGAUUGUCCAUUGCACUCCAGAUGUGCUGACCCCUGUGAUUUCCCCAAAUGUGGGAAACAAACAAAUCUCAAAAUCUUAUAAUGUUUC
Molecule: small nuclear RNA, 143 nt
Gene: U1
Rfam family: U1 spliceosomal RNA
About the family: U1 is a small nuclear RNA (snRNA) component of the spliceosome (involved in pre-mRNA splicing).
Source: Ensembl